UGAGUAACACGUGGGGAACCUGCCCCUAAGUCUGGGAUACCAUUUGGAAACAGGUGCUAAUACCGGAUAAUAAAGCAGAUCGCAUGAUCAGCUUUUGAAAGGCGGCGUAAGCUGUCGCUAAGGGAUGGCCCCGCGGUGCAUUAGCUAGUUGGUAAGGUAACGGCUUACCAAGGCGACGAUGCAUAGCCGAGUUGAGAGACUGAUCGGCCACAUUGGGACUGAGACACGGCCCAAACUCCUACGGGAGGCAGCAGUAGGGAAUCUUCCACAAUGGACGCAAGUCUGAUGGAGCAACGCCGCGUGAGUGAAGAAGGUUUUCGGAUCGUAAAGCUCUGUUGUUGGUGAAGAAGGAUAGAGGUAGUAACUGGCCUUUAUUUGACGGUAAUCAACCAGAAAGUCACGGCUAACUACGUGCCAGCAGCCGCGGUAAUACGUAGGUGGCAAGCGUUGUCCGGAUUUAUUGGGCGUAAGGCGAGCGCAGGCGGAAAAAUAAGUCUAAUGUGAAAGCCCUCGGCUUAACCGAGGAACUGCAUCGGAAACUGUUUUUCUUGAGUGCAGAAGAGGAGAGUGGAACUCCAUGUGUAGCGGUGGAAUGCGUAGAUAUAUGGAAGAACACCAGUGGCGGAAGGCGGCUCUCUGGGUCUGCAACUGACGCUUGAGGCUCGAAAGCAUGGGGUAGCGAACAGGAUU
Molecule: ribosomal RNA, 690 nt
Filed under: uncultured bacterium
Lineage: Bacteria
Description: bacterial SSU rRNA
Rfam family: Bacterial small subunit ribosomal RNA
Source: RNAcentral